AAAAAAAUAACAUCAGAUGUUCCCUAGAGUUCCCCGGAACACUUCAUUAGGGUUCCUCAUUUUGCAACUUACUGAAGUGUUUGGGGGAACUCCUGAAAUCAUUUGAUCAUAGCAUGUGGUGACAUGGUGUAGAAGACUUUUAUAAUAAAAAUAUUAGGGUUUCCAUGUUAAUCAAGAGUUUGGUGCUUCUAGAUUGAGAGGACAUCUGCAAGGUGUAAAAACUAUGGCAAUUUUUCUUUUCUUUUUUUCGCAAUCCGUACUAUACAAAUUUUAACUUGCCAUCGAUUUCAGUUUUUCUUGAAUAGUCCCCUAGCCAAGAGCAACUAAUUGUGUCUAAAAAUGCUCGUCUACAUCACAUUAUAAAAAAUGUAUUCAAAGACAGUACUAUUGAAUUGUGUUUCAAAUUGAACAACCACAUUCAAAUGUUUAAAAUAUUAGAAAGUAGAAAAAAAUAUAUAUAUUUGUAUUGUAUUUUGAUAGUCUCAUUGAGAAAUAAUAGAACAUAAAAUGGCAAAUUAAAUUUCAAUCAACUAUAUGAUAAGAAAUAUAGCUAGCCGCGGCCAUCAACAAGAUUAUCUACAUACAUACUGAUGAUUAGCACUAUUUUCUAAAUUUAGAUUGCAACUAAAA
This 630-nucleotide long non-coding RNA is filed under the name Olea europaea subsp. europaea. The stretch from base 17 to 102 matches the Rfam family "mir-395 microRNA precursor family". Lineage: Eukaryota; Viridiplantae; Streptophyta; Magnoliopsida; Lamiales; Oleaceae. The record is from RNAcentral.